GCCCGCUUUGAACAAAAUCAAAUCCAUAUCCGAAUCCACGAGGUUAUUCUUUGCCCAUCCAUAAAAAAACCCACGGAUAAAAAAUUGUGUCCAUGUCCAAACCCGAUGGAUAUCCAUAUCCAAUGGAUACCCAUCGGGUCCUAUCAAAACACGUAUACAUAAUACCUUGGCACAACAUUCACAUACAGACUCAAAUUCUCACAAAAUGACAUCUGAGAAGGGCACCACAUGAAAUAAGCGUUCAGAUUCUCAUGCACUCAGCUUUCGGUUCCCCAUUAAUAAUUUUCUUUUCAAAAAUUCCUUCCCACACAAUUGAUGUGAGCUUUCUUUUAUUACAACUCUAACAGACCCAUCACCACCAUGACCUUGUGAUGCUCUCACAGUAGUAGCUUGAGUUGGGGAAGUAGCUAGGUUAACAUUCCCAGUGAUAGCCCCAGCACCGCCUUGUGCUCCAUGAGAAUCCAUUGCGCUAUAAAAUGAAAAAAAAGUCAUUUGUUUCAGUUAAAGUGAAAUUAGGUACAUACUGUCUGAACUGUACAAAUGUGGUACCUACAUUACAAUUUUACAACCAAAACGACUAAUAACUAAAGUGACGGACUGUGAGAUCCUUUCUUCAGCACAUGACAUGCAGAAAGUUGAGCACAAGCUUUAAUUGAAACAAAUCUCUUGUCUGAAAUGUACAAUUUCGAUUCCUAAAUUGCAAUUUUACAACCAAAUAAACUAUAAUUAAAGCGAAAGUCCGUGAGCCCUUCUAUUCAGCAGAUGACAUGGGUUGAGCACAUGACAUUGACCAAGUUGAGAAAAUGAAUCUUAAUCAGUCAGAUUCUAACUUUAUACUAAUCAUUCACAAUCCACUUGAUAGAAAUUCAAAAAUAAACUGACAUAUUUUGUAAAAACGAAUUACUGUACUAAUUAACAGGCAUAUCCAUAGAAGCGGAAUCUGACUCGAAUUGACCAUCAGAAGUAUCAUAUUCUCUUGUUCUCUGAUUUGUAGUCAGAUUUCACUUUUUAGUCAGAGUUUAUAGUCUAACCUGACUGAAAUUGACCACUACAGAUCAGUAAUGCAGUAAAGUCUGAUUUUUCUCUUGUCACAAACUAAAAAAUAGAAAUUGACCACUAGUCCACUGCAAAUCUCUUAUUCUCUACUCUAAUUACUACUACAAACUCAUGAACAAGCACGUCAUGCACAUCCACGCACAAGCAGUAGAUGUACACGAGCAGGAACAAAAAGCUUACCCUGACGGUUGGCUGUUUGGCGUGGUCAUCGCCUCCACGACGUGGUCCUGCUCCUCGCCGUGGUCUGCGCCCGCCUCGCUGCGCCUUUGCGCCGCCAUACUCCUGGUCGUGCGCGCCAUCGCACGCUGCAUCGUCGUGCUCCACCUCGCUGUCGCGCGUACAAACUGGUGGUUUGCUGUGCGCUUGGGAAUGCUGAGAUGGAGGAGUCGGGGGGAUCUGUGGAGAUGGAGCCGGCCAGCAGUUAGACUGUAUAUACGUAGCCUCUGUAUAUCUGUAUUGUAACGUUGUAUUGUACCCCUUGGGUACUUCUAUAUAAUGAGAUAGCCACAC
Molecule: long non-coding RNA, 1566 nt
Filed under: Triticum aestivum (bread wheat)
Lineage: Eukaryota; Viridiplantae; Streptophyta; Magnoliopsida; Poales; Poaceae
Description: long non-coding RNA (TAES_LNC011809)
Source: RNAcentral